UACGAAGGGGGCUAGCGUUGUUCGGAAUUACUGGGCGUAAAGCGCACGUAGGCGGCUUUGUAAGUUAGAGGUGAAAGCCCAGGGCUUAACCCUGGAAUUGCCUUUAAGACUGCAUCGCUAGAAUCGUGGAGAGGUGAGUGGAAUUCCGAGUGUAGAGGUGAAAUUCGUAGAUAUUCGGAAGAACACCAGUGGCGAAGGCGACUCACUGGACACGUAUUGACGCUGAGGUGCGAAAGCGUGGGGAGCAACAGGG
This 253-nucleotide ribosomal RNA is filed under the name uncultured bacterium. RNAcentral's name for it is "partial 16S ribosomal RNA". It matches the Rfam family "Bacterial small subunit ribosomal RNA", at positions 524 to 776 of the family's 1533-position model. The record is from RNAcentral.